Molecule: ribosomal RNA, 435 nt
Filed under: uncultured bacterium
Lineage: Bacteria
Description: partial 16S ribosomal RNA
Rfam family: Bacterial small subunit ribosomal RNA
Source: RNAcentral
GAUGAACGCUGGCGGUAUGCUUAACACAUGCAAGUCGAACGGACUCUUCGGAGUUAGUGGCGGACGGGUGAGUAACGCGUGAGAAUCUGGCUUUGGGUUCGGGACAACCACUGGAAACGGUGGCUAAUACCGGAUGUGCCGAGAGGUAAAAGAGAAAUUGCCUGAAGAUGAGCUCGCGUCUGAUUAGCUAGUUGGUGAGGUAAAGGCUCACCAAGGCAGCGAUCAGUAGCUGGUCUGAGAGGAUGACCAGCCACACUGGGACUGAGACACGGCCCAGACUCCUACGGGAGGCAGCAGUGGGGAAUUUUCCGAAAUGGGCGAAAGCCUGACGGAGCAAUACCGCGUGAGGGAAGAAGGCUCUUGGGUUGUAAACCUCUUUUCUUAGGGAAGAACAAAAUGACGGUACCUAAGGAAUCAGCAUCGGCUAACUCCGUG